UGGCUCAGAUUGAACGCUGGCGGCAGGCCUAACACAUGCAAGUCGAGCGGUAACACAGAGAGCUUGCUCUCGGGUGACGAGCGGCGGACGGGUGAGUAAUGUCUGGGAAACUGCCUGAUGGAGGGGGAUAACUACUGGAAACGGUAGCUAAUACCGCAUAACGUCGCAAGACCAAAGUGGGGGACCUUCGGGCCUCAUGCCAUCAGAUGUGCCCAGAUGGGAUUAGCUAGUAGGUGGGGUAAUGGCUCACCUAGGCGACGAUCCCUAGCUGGUCUGAGAGGAUGACCAGCCACACUGGAACUGAGACACGGUCCAGACUCCUACGGGAGGCAGCAGUGGGGAAUAUUGCACAAUGGGCGCAAGCCUGAUGCAGCCAUGCCGCGUGUAUGAAGAAGGCCUUCGGGUUGUAAAGUACUUUCAGCGAGGAGGAAGGCGUUAAGGUUAAUAACCUUGGCGAUUGACGUUACUCGCAGAAGAAGCACCGGCUAACUCCGUGCCAGCAGCCGCGGU
Molecule: ribosomal RNA, 510 nt
Filed under: Klebsiella aerogenes
Lineage: Bacteria; Pseudomonadati; Pseudomonadota; Gammaproteobacteria; Enterobacterales; Enterobacteriaceae
Description: bacterial SSU rRNA
Rfam family: Bacterial small subunit ribosomal RNA
Source: RNAcentral